AUACAUGGCCGACGCGGUUCAAUGUGUGGUAUCUGUUUUUAUCAGCUAAAUAUGUGAUAGGGCUCCUAUUUGGACCGACAACAUUAAACUUAUUUUUGGAAAUUGGCAGAGCGCUUGAAGCCUGCUUCACCUCCUCCGCGAGUCGCCUCGGUAUUGCACAUAUUCGGGAUCGCCCCAUGGAUG
Dermacentor andersoni is the source of this 183-nucleotide small nuclear RNA. RefSeq annotates it as U2 spliceosomal RNA. The record is from RefSeq and is a predicted model, not a curated record. Lineage: Eukaryota; Metazoa; Arthropoda; Arachnida; Ixodida; Ixodidae.